GAUGAACGCUGGCGGCGUGCCUAAUACAUGCAAGUCGAACGCAUUGUGGUUGAAAUGAUAUGAAGAACUUGUUCAGAUUUGAUUUUCAACAUUGCAGUGAGUGGCGAACGGGUGAGUAACACGUGGGAAACCUACCUCUUAGCAGGGAUAACAUUUGGAAACAAAUGCUAAUAACCGUGUAAUAAUUAAAAACCGCAUGGUUUAGUUUAAAAGAUGGUCUUGCUAUCACUAAGAGAUGGUCCCGCGGUGUAUUAGUUAGUUGGUGAGGUAAUGGCUCACCAAGACAAUGAUUACAUAGCCGAGUUGAGAGACUGACGGCCCACAAUGGGACGUGAGACACGGCCCAUACUCCUACGGAGGC
Molecule: ribosomal RNA, 361 nt
Filed under: uncultured bacterium
Lineage: Bacteria
Description: bacterial SSU rRNA
Rfam family: Bacterial small subunit ribosomal RNA
Source: RNAcentral